CAUGCAAGUCGAGCGCGAAAGUCCGCAAGGAUGAGUAAAGCGGCGCACGGGUGAGUAACACGUGGAUAAUCUACCCUUUGGAUUGGAAUAACCUGUCGAAAGACGGGCUAAUGCCGAGUAAGCUCUCGGGAGCGUGAAGCUCUUGCGAGGAAAGAUGGCGCAAGCUAUCGCCGAUGGAUGAGUCUGCGUCCCAUUAGUUAGUUGGUGAGGUAACAGCUUACCAAGACGAUGAUGGGUACCUGGUCUGAGAGGAUGAUCAGGCACACUGGAACUGAAACACGGUCCAGACUCCUACGGGAGGCAGCAGUAGGGAAUAUUGCGCAAUGGACGAAAGUCUGACGCAGCCACGCCGCGUGAGUGAGGAAGGCCUUCGGGUUGUAAAGCUCUGUCAUCCGGGAAAAACGGCUAUCUGGGGAAAGUUCAGGUAGCGUGAUGGUACCGGAGGAGGAAGCACCGGCAAACUCUGUGCCAGCAGCCGCGGUAAUACAGAGGGUGCAAGCGUUGUUCGGAAUUACUGGGCGUAAAGCGUGCGUAGUCGGUAUUGAGAGUCACGGGUGAAAUCCCAGGGCUUAACCCUGGAACUGCCUGUGAGACCUCAGUACUAGAGUGUGAGAGGGGAUA
Molecule: ribosomal RNA, 621 nt
Filed under: uncultured bacterium
Lineage: Bacteria
Description: bacterial SSU rRNA
Rfam family: Bacterial small subunit ribosomal RNA
Source: RNAcentral